GGUUUUAUGGGGUAGUGGUUAGCCCCCGAGAUUUUGAUCACUUAUGGAUCCCUAACGGGAACGGUUAAAUAUUUCUCGUGACCCCGGUUCGAAUCCGGGUAUGACCU
This 107-nucleotide transfer RNA is filed under the name Sphaerobolus stellatus SS14. Its description in RNAcentral is "tRNA-Gln". It matches the Rfam family "tRNA". Rfam says of the family: Transfer RNA (tRNA) molecules are approximately 80 nucleotides in length. Their secondary structure includes four short double-helical elements and three loops (D, anti-codon, and T loops). The record is from RNAcentral. Lineage: Eukaryota; Fungi; Basidiomycota; Agaricomycetes; Geastrales; Sphaerobolaceae.